CCCGAUGUGACAGAAAAUGUGAUAGAUUUAAAAUCUAUUUAUGGUUUAACCCUUCGGUA
This 59-nucleotide transfer RNA is filed under the name Pseudoniphargus ruffoi. RNAcentral describes it as "tRNA-Leu". Lineage: Eukaryota; Metazoa; Arthropoda; Malacostraca; Amphipoda; Allocrangonyctidae. The record is from RNAcentral.